Molecule: long non-coding RNA, 1123 nt
Organism: Sebastes umbrosus (honeycomb rockfish)
Lineage: Eukaryota; Metazoa; Chordata; Actinopteri; Perciformes; Sebastidae
Exons: 3
Source: RefSeq, a predicted model, not a curated record
GAUUAAUUUAAUAGUUGACAACUAAUCGAUUGAUCGAUUAAUCGUCGCAGUUCUACUUCCGUCCAAACACAUUUUGGCAGUUUGGAGCUUCAAACACUUAUCACAUAAUACACAGUAUCUAUAAUAAUCAGCCCGUGCAACACUAAAUGUAUGACUGGGAUCACAAAACAAACUACUUUUAAGAGGAUGUUUGAAAUAUGCACAUUGUGAAAUUAUAAUUAUUGAUGCAAAAUUUGUACAAUAACUAGCAAUAUGGGAAGAGGCUGUCAGGGGAACGGGGAGAGGGACGCAAUUGCGGACCAGGGGAUUGAAGCGAUUGAAAGGGAGAGGGGAAACACCAAAUUAGGUUCCCUACACUCAAUAUAUCUUAAAAAGACUAAAAGUAAAACCCCGCUGCCGAGCAGCUGACUAGAACAUAAAUGAAACAAAAGAACCAGCGAAGGCAGGCCACACAGACCUAACCCACUCUAAGAGACUCCUGCUCUGAGAAGAAGCUAAAUGAAGUGAGCUAUUCCCACAGAUAGGUUCACGUGGUACUUCUGCAGAUUCACACACACCCCUAUACAGACAGCGCAAAAACAGGACUCUCACUACCCCUGACAAAGAGACAAUGAGUCAGCACCUGAGCACUGAAACCAGGUAGAUAUAGGCUUCAACCACCUGAUGCUCAUCAGGGACAAUCAGGCUCCACAGCUGCCUCUCCUCAGAGAUAAUUAACCCAACCAGCCUGCUGAGUGGCAGCGUGACCCUCACAGAGGCAAUUAAAGGAAUAUGCACUACAACUUCCUGCGCUACAGUCUUCAAGACUAUAGGAUCAUACACAAAAGGUGCCUCCUGUUGAUCUCGUAGAUGAUCUCCAGGUGACGAGGCAGAAGGUUCUGGAAGAGGUCGACGGGCCAGCGCUCCAGGGCUUCGGGCAGGACCGUGUGGUUGGUGUAGGCGCAGGUCCGAACCACGAUGUCCCAGGCCUGGACGCAGAGAGUGUUGAAGGAUGCAAAGAGACAGAAUUGUUGCACCCCUGAGUUCACCAGAGUGGGCUCUUAGACGAUCUGACAAGCUCUUUGUUUUAUGCAUACUGAGGCCUGUGUGUUACUGCACAGCUGGAAUGCCCGGCAUACCUUCG